This 397-nucleotide ribosomal RNA is filed under the name uncultured bacterium. Its description in RNAcentral is "bacterial SSU rRNA". It matches the Rfam family "Bacterial small subunit ribosomal RNA", at positions 29 to 424 of the family's 1533-position model. The record is from RNAcentral.
AGUGAACGCUGGCGGCAGGCCUAACACAUGCAAGUCGAACGGCAGCACGGCAGUAGCAAUACUGUGGGUGGCGAGUGGCGGACGGGUGAGGAAUACAUCGGGAUCUACCCUGUUGUGGGGGAUAACGUAGGGAAACUUACGCUAAUACCGCAUAAGAACUGAGGUUGAAAGCGGCGGACCGCAAGGCGUCGCGCGAUUGGAUGAACCGAUGUCCGAUUAGCUAGUUGGCGGGUAAAGGCCCACCAAGGCGACGAUCGGUAGCUGGUCUGAGAGGAUGAUCAGCCACACUGGGACUGAGACACGGCCCAGACUCCUACGGGAGGCAGUAGUGGGGAAUUUUGGACAAUGGGCGAAAGCCUGAUCCAGCCAUUCCGCGUGAGUGAAGAAGGCCUCGGUU